This 465-nucleotide ribosomal RNA is filed under the name uncultured bacterium. Its description in RNAcentral is "partial 16S ribosomal RNA". It matches the Rfam family "Bacterial small subunit ribosomal RNA", at positions 28 to 507 of the family's 1533-position model. The record is from RNAcentral.
GACGAACGCUGGCGGCGUGCUUAACACAUGCAAGUCGAACGGAAAGGCCCUGCUUGCAGGGUACUCGAGUGGCGAACGGGUGAGUAACACGUGGGUGAUCUGCCCUGCACUUCGGGAUAAGCCUGGGAAACUGGGUCUAAUACCGGAUAGGAGCCAUUUUUAGUGUGAUGGUUGGAAAGUUUUUUCGGUGUAGGAUGAGCUCGCGGCCUAUCAGCUUGUUGGUGGGGUAAUGGCCUACCAAGGCGGCGACGGGUAGCCGGCCUGAGAGGGUGGACGGCCACAUUGGGACUGAGAGACGGCCCAGGCUCCUACGGGGGGCAGCAGUGGGGAAUAUUGCACAAUGGGCGCAAGCCUGAUGCAGCGACGCCGCGUGGGGGAUGACGGCCUUCGGGUUGUAAACUCCUUUCGCUAGGGACGAAGCUUUUUGUGACGGUACCUAGAUAAGAAGCACCGGCUAACUACGUG